CCUACGGGUGGCAGCAGUGAGGAAUAUUGGUCAAUGGGCGGAAGCCUGAACCAGCCAAGUAGCGUGCGGGAUGAAGGCCCUACGGGUCGUAAACCGCUUUUGCACGGGGAUAACACCCUCCACUUGUGGAGGUCUGCAGGUACCGUGCGAAUAAGGGCCGGCAAAUUCCGUGCCAGCAGCCGCGGUAAUACGGAAGGCCCGACGGUUAUCCGGAUUCAUUGGGCUAAAAGGGAGCGUAGGCGGGCGUUCAAGUCAGCUGUAAAAUCGCGCGGCUCAACCGCGCCCCGCAGUUGAAACUGGACGACUUGAGUAAACAAGAGGGAGGCGGAAUUCGUGGUGUAGCGGUGAAAUGCAUAGAUAUCAGGAGGAACGCCGAUGGCGAAGGCAGCCUGCCGGGGUGCGACUGACGCUGAGGCUCGAAGGUGAGGGUAGCAAACAGGAUUAGAUACCCUUGUAGUC
RNAcentral lists this ribosomal RNA (459 nucleotides) under uncultured bacterium. Its description in RNAcentral is "partial 16S ribosomal RNA". It matches the Rfam family "Bacterial small subunit ribosomal RNA", at positions 338 to 795 of the family's 1533-position model. The record is from RNAcentral.